GAUGAAGAACGUAGCGAAAUGCGAUAAGUAGUGUGAAUUGCAGAAUUCCGUGAAUCAUCGAAUCUUUGAACGCAUAUUGCGCCCUUUGGUAUUCCGAAGGGCAUGCCUGUUCGAGCGUCAUUAUCACCCCUCAAGCCCCGGCUUGGUGUUGGACUUAGUUACGGAUCACCAUAACUGGCCUCAAAGAUAGUGGCGGCGCCCCAGAGGGAACCGGUACGAGGAGCUUCUAGUUAAGCAUGUACGCGGGACGACUUUGCGGGCGACGGUCUUUUUCAUUUCUCAAGUGUUGACCUCGGAUCAGGUAGGAAUACCCGCUGAACUUAAGCAUAUCAAUAAGCGGAGGA
Molecule: unclassified non-coding RNA, 344 nt
Filed under: soil metagenome
Description: partial contains 5.8S ribosomal RNA, internal transcribed spacer 2, and large subunit ribosomal RNA
Rfam family: 5.8S ribosomal RNA (bases 1-120)
Source: RNAcentral